ACUCCUACGGGAGGCAGCAGUGGGGAAUAUUGGACAAUGGGCGCAAGCCUGAUCCAGCAAUGCCGCGUGUGUGAAGAAGGCCUGCGGAUUGUAAAGCACUUUCAGUGGGGAAGAACGGGUCCGGGCCAAUACCCCGGAUCACUGACGUUACCCACAGAAGAAGCACCGGCUAACUCCGUGCCAGCAGCCGCGGUAAU
This 197-nucleotide ribosomal RNA is filed under the name uncultured bacterium. RNAcentral describes it as "partial 16S ribosomal RNA". It matches the Rfam family "Bacterial small subunit ribosomal RNA", at positions 335 to 524 of the family's 1533-position model. The record is from RNAcentral.